RNAcentral lists this ribosomal RNA (503 nucleotides) under uncultured bacterium. RNAcentral describes it as "bacterial SSU rRNA". It matches the Rfam family "Bacterial small subunit ribosomal RNA", at positions 28 to 502 of the family's 1533-position model. The record is from RNAcentral.
GACGAACGCUGGCGGCGUGCCUAAUACAUGCAAGUCGAACGCAUUUUCUUUCACCGUAGCUUGCUACACCGAAAGAAAAUGAGUGGCGAACGGGUGAGUAACACGUGGGUAACCUGCCCAUCAGCGGGGGAUAACACUUGGAAACAGGUGCUAAUACCGCAUAAUUCCAUUUACCGCAUGGUAGAUGGGUGAAAGGCGCUUUUGCGUCACUGAUGGAUGGACCCGCGGUGCAUUAGCUAGUUGGUGGGGUAACGGCCUACCAAGGCUGCGAUGCAUAGCCGACCUGAGAGGGUGAUCGGCCACACUGGGACUGAGACACGGCCCAGACUCCUACGGGAGGCAGCAGUAGGGAAUCUUCGGCAAUGGACGCAAGUCUGACCGAGCAACGCCGCGUGAGUGAAGAAGGUUUUCGGACCGUUAAACUCUGUUGUUAGAAAAAGAACAAGGAUGAGAGUGGAAAGUUCAUCCCUUGACGGUAUCUAACCAGAAAGCCACGGCCAACU